AGGUCAGGACACGGUAAGGAUUGACGGACUGAAGGCUCUUUCUCGAUUCCGUGGAAAGUGGUGCAUGGCCGUUUUGGUUGGUGGAUCGAUCCGUCUGGUUAAUUCCGUUAACGAACGAGACCUCGGCACUCCGAAUAGCGCGGCGGACGUCGCGGCCUCCGGGCCGUCUUCCGCACGAGCUUCUUAGAGGGACCGUCCCCCGCCGGGGAAGGAGGUGCGAGGCAACGACAGGUCUGUGAUGCCCUUAGAUGUUCUGGGCCGCACGCGCAUUACACUGACGCGUCCAACGGGUGACUCCCGACCCGAAGGGGCCGGGGAAUCCGCAAGGCGCGUCGUGAUGGGGAUUGAACGUUGCAAUUGCUGUUCACGAACGAGGAAUUCCUAGUAGGCGCGGGUCAUCAACCCGCGCCGAUUACGUCCCUGCCCUUUGUACACACC
RNAcentral lists this ribosomal RNA (438 nucleotides) under uncultured eukaryote. RNAcentral describes it as "bacterial SSU rRNA". It matches the Rfam family "Eukaryotic small subunit ribosomal RNA", at positions 1220 to 1670 of the family's 1831-position model. The record is from RNAcentral.